RNAcentral lists this ribosomal RNA (469 nucleotides) under uncultured bacterium. Its description in RNAcentral is "partial 16S ribosomal RNA". It matches the Rfam family "Bacterial small subunit ribosomal RNA", at positions 28 to 507 of the family's 1533-position model. The record is from RNAcentral.
GACGAACGCUGGCGGCGUGCUUAACACAUGUAAGUCGAACGGAAAGUCCCUGCUUGCAGGGUUCUCGAGUGGCGAACGGGUGAGUAACACGUUGGUGAUCUGCCCCUUACUUUGGGAUAAGCCUGUUAAACUGGGUCUAAUACUGGAUAGGUCCAUGCUGUAUGUGGUGUGGUUUAAAGAUUUGUUUCGUUAAUGUAUGAGCUCUCGUCCUAUCAGCUUGUUGGUGGGGUAAUGGCCUACCAAGGCGUCGACGGGUAGCCGGCCUGAGAGGGUGGACGGCAACAUUGGGACUGAGAUACGGCCCAGAGUCCUACAAGAGGCAGCAGUGGGGAAAAUUGCACAAUGGGCGCAAGCAUGAUGGAGAGAAGCGGCGUGGGGGAUGACGGACUUCGGGUUGUAAACACCUUGCAGCCAUGAGGAAGGCCUUGUGGUGACGGUAGUGGUAGAAGAAGCACCGGCUAACUACGUG